This 433-nucleotide ribosomal RNA is filed under the name uncultured bacterium. RNAcentral describes it as "partial 16S ribosomal RNA". It matches the Rfam family "Bacterial small subunit ribosomal RNA", at positions 29 to 507 of the family's 1533-position model. The record is from RNAcentral.
AACGAACGCUGGCGGCAUGCCUAACACAUGCAAGUCGAACGAGACCUUCGGGUCUAGUGGCGCACGGGUGCGUAACGCGUGGGAACCUGCCCUUAGGUUCGGAAUAACUCCCCGAAAGGGGUUCUAAUACCGGAUAAUGUCUUCGGACCAAAGAUUUAUCGCCUUUGGAUGGGCCCGCGUUGGAUUAGCUAGUUUGUAGGGUAAAAGCCUACCAAGGCGACGAUCCAUAGCUGGUCUGAGAGGAUGAUCAGCCACACUGGGACUGAGACACGGCCCAGACUCCUACGGGAGGAAGCAGUGGGGAAUAUUGGACAAUGGGCGAAAGCCUGAUCCAGCAAUGCCGCGUGAGUGAUGAAGGCCUUAGGGUUGUAAAGCUCUUUUACCCGGGAUGAUAAUGACAGUACCGGGAGAAUAAGAUCCGGCUAACUCCGUG